GAAACGACUGCUAAGACUGGAUAGGAAAUAAAAAGGCAUCUUUUUAUUUUUAAAAAACCUUUUUCGGAAGGUAUGCUUAAAGAGGGGCUUGCGUCACAUUAGUUAGUUGGCAGGGUAAAGGCCUACCAAGACUAUGAUGUGUAGCUGGACUGAGAGGUUGAACAGCCACAUUGGGACUGAGACACGGCCCAAACUCCUACGGGAGGCAGCAGUAGGGAAUUUUCGGCAAUGGAGGAAACUCUGACCGAGCAACGCCGCGUGAACGAUGAAGUAUUUCGGUAUGUAAAGUUCUUUUAUUGAAGAAGAAAAAAUAGUGGAAAAACUAUCUUGACGAUAUUCAAUGAAUAAGCCCCGGCAAACUAUGUGCCAGCAGCCGCGGUAAUACAUAGGGGGCGAGCGUUAUCCGGAAUUAUUGGGCGUAAAGGGUGCGUAGGCGGUUUAAUAAGUCUAUAGUUUAAUUUCAGUGCUUAACACUGUCCUGCUAUAGAAACUAUUAGACUAGAGUGAGAUAGAGGCAAGUGGAAUUCCAUGUGUAGCGGUAAAAUGCGUAAAUAUAUGGAGGAACACCAGAGGCGUAGGCGGCUUGCUGGGUCUUUACUGACGCUGAGGCACGAAAGCGUGGGGAGCAAACAGGAUUAGAUACCCUGGUAGUCCACGCCGUAAACGAUGAGUACUAAGUGUCGGGAUUACUCGGUACUGAAGUUAACACAUUAAGUACUCCGCCUGAGUAGUACGUACGCAAGUAUGAAACUUAAAGGAAUUGACGGGACUCCGCACAAGCGGUGGAUCAUGUUGUUUAAUUCGAAGAUACACGAAAAACCUUACCAGGUCUUGACAUACUCUGCAAAGCUAUAGCAAUAUAGUGGAGGUUAUCAGGGAUACAGGUGGUGCAUGGUUGUCGUCAGCUCGUGUCGUGAGAUGUUAGGUUAAGUCCUAAAACGAGCGCAACCCUUGUCAUUAGUUGCCAGCAUGUCAUGAUGGGCACUUUAAUGAGACUGCCAAUGAAAAAUUGGAGGAAGGUGAGGAUCACGUCAAAUCAUCAUGCCCCUUAUGAUCUGGGCUACAAACGUGAUACAAUGGCUGUUACAAAGAGUAGCUGAAACGCAAGUUUAUAGCCAAUCUCAUAAAAGCAGUCUCAGUUCGGAUUGAAGUCUGCAACUCGACUUCAUGAAGUUGGAAUCGCUAGUAAUCGCGAAUCAGCAUGUCGCGGUGAAUACGUUCUCGGGGUUUGUACACACCGCCCGUC
Molecule: ribosomal RNA, 1246 nt
Filed under: Candidatus Phytoplasma oryzae
Lineage: Bacteria; Bacillati; Mycoplasmatota; Mollicutes; Acholeplasmatales; Acholeplasmataceae
Description: bacterial SSU rRNA
Rfam family: Bacterial small subunit ribosomal RNA
Source: RNAcentral